GCGAAAGUGGCGGAAUUGGUAGACGCCCUGGAUUUAGGUUCCAGUACCUUACGGUGUGGGGGUUCGAGUCCCCCCUUUCGCACCA
This 85-nucleotide transfer RNA is filed under the name Lysobacteraceae bacterium. RNAcentral's name for it is "Xanthomonadaceae bacterium tRNA-Leu". It matches the Rfam family "tRNA". Rfam says of the family: Transfer RNA (tRNA) molecules are approximately 80 nucleotides in length. Their secondary structure includes four short double-helical elements and three loops (D, anti-codon, and T loops). The record is from RNAcentral. Lineage: Bacteria; Pseudomonadati; Pseudomonadota; Gammaproteobacteria; Lysobacterales; Lysobacteraceae.